CGGGUGAGUAACACGUAUGCAACCUGCCUGCCACAGCCGGAUAAUCGGGAGAAAUUCCGUCUAAUACGGCAUAAUGCAUCGACGGGACAUCCUGUUGGUGCCAAAGGUUGAUUCCGGUGGCGGAUGGGCAUGCGUCGCAUUUGUUAGUUGGCGGUGUAACGGACCACCAAGACGACGAUGCGUAGGGGUUCUGAGAGGAAGGUCCCCCACACUGGUACUGAGACACGGACCAGACUCCUACGGGAGGCAGCAG
Molecule: ribosomal RNA, 253 nt
Filed under: uncultured bacterium
Lineage: Bacteria
Description: partial 16S ribosomal RNA
Rfam family: Bacterial small subunit ribosomal RNA
Source: RNAcentral